This 160-nucleotide ribosomal RNA is filed under the name Candelariella efflorescens. Its description in RNAcentral is "5.8S ribosomal RNA". It matches the Rfam family "5.8S ribosomal RNA". From Rfam's summary of the family: 5.8S ribosomal RNA (5.8S rRNA) is a component of the large subunit of the eukaryotic ribosome. It is transcribed by RNA polymerase I as part of the 45S precursor that also contains 18S and 28S rRNA. RNAcentral also lists the same sequence under 1 other name. Lineage: Eukaryota; Fungi; Ascomycota; Candelariomycetes; Candelariales; Candelariaceae. The record is from RNAcentral.
AAAACUUUCAACAACGGAUCUCUUGGUUCUGGCAUCGAUGAAGAACGCAGCGAAAUGCGAUAAGUAAUGUGAAUUGCAGAAUUCAGUGAAUCAUCGAAUCUUUGAACGCACAUUGCGCCCCUUGGUAUUCCGAGGGGUAUGCCUGUUCGAGCGUCAUUAC